Molecule: ribosomal RNA, 467 nt
Filed under: uncultured bacterium
Lineage: Bacteria
Description: partial 16S ribosomal RNA
Rfam family: Bacterial small subunit ribosomal RNA
Source: RNAcentral
GACGAACGCUGGCGGCGUGCUUAACACAUGCAAGUCGAACGGAAAGGCCCUGCCUUUGUGGGGUGCUCGAGUGGCGAACGGGUGAGUAACACGUGAGUAACCUGCCCUUGACUUUGGGAUAACUUCAGGAAACUGGGGCUAAUACCGGAUAGGAGCUCCUGCUGCAUGGUGGGGGUUGGAAAGUUUCGGCGGUUGGGGAUGGACUCGCGGCUUAUCAGCUUGUUGGUGGGGUAGUGGCUUACCAAGGCUUUGACGGGUAGCCGGCCUGAGAGGGUGACCGGCCACAUUGGGACUGAGAUACGGCCCAGACUCCUACGGGAGGCAGCAGUGGGGAAUAGUGCACAAUGGGCGGAAGCCUGAUGCAGCAACGCCGCGUGCGGGAUGACGGCUUUCGGGUUGUAAACCGAUUUCGCCUGUGACGAAGCGUGAGUGACGGUAAUGGGUAAAGAAGCACCGGCUAACUACGU